AAGGGGCUGUAUGGGAGUUCUUGCUGGGUUGUUUUGAUCCCAAUAGCACAUUUGAGGAAAGAAAUGAACUUAGACAACAACGGAGAGAGCAAUAUGCUGUGUGGAAAUCUGAAUGCCAAAAGCUAGUACCUGUUAUUGGCAGUGGAAAGUUUACCACAAAUGCUAUAGUCACGGAUGAUGGCCAACCUAUAGAGCUUGCGAACACUACCAGUAAUGGACAUGAUACUAACAAUGGCAUGCCAGUCGAUGACGGUGUUUAUGAGAAGAAAGUGGUCCAGUGGAAGCUUAACUUGUCCCAAAUUGGUCUGGAUGUUGUUCGUACGGAUCGUUCUCUUGUAUUUUAUGAGAAUCAAGCUAAUCAGGCAAAACUCUGGGAUGUGCUAGCUGUCUAUGCAUGGA
Molecule: unclassified non-coding RNA, 399 nt
Filed under: Hevea brasiliensis (rubber tree)
Lineage: Eukaryota; Viridiplantae; Streptophyta; Magnoliopsida; Malpighiales; Euphorbiaceae
Source: RNAcentral